GAUAAAGCGAAGCCUGGUGACCGGGUUCAGGUGGUGGGAACCUACCGUUGCCUUCCUGGAAAGAAGGGAGGCUACACCUCUGGGACCUUCAGGACUGUCCUGAUUGCCUGUAAUGUUAAGCAGAUGAGCAAGGAUGCUCAGCCCUCUUUCUCUGCUGAGGAUAUAGCCAAGAUCAAGAAGUUCAGUAAAACCCGAUCCAAGGAUAUCUUUGACCAGCUGGCCAAGUCAUUGGCCCCAAGCAUCCAUGGGCAUGACUAUGUCAAGAAAGCAAUCCUCUGCUUGCUCUUGGGAGGGGUGGAACGAGACCUAGAAAAUGGCAGCCACAUCCGUGGGGACAUCAAUAUUCUUCUAAUAGGAGACCCAUCCGUUGCCAAGUCUCAGCUUCUGCGGUAUGUGCUUUGCACUGCACCCCGAGCUAUCCCCACCACUGGCCGGGGCUCCUCUGGAGUGGGUCUGACGGCUGCUGUCACCACAGACCAGGAAACAGGAGAGCGCCGUCUGGAAGCAGGGGCCAUGGUCCUGGCCGACCGAGGCGUGGUUUGCAUUGAUGAAUUUGACAAAAUGUCUGACAUGGAUCGCACAGCCAUCCAUGAAGUGAUGGAGCAGGGUCGAGUGACCAUUGCCAAGGCUGGCAUCCAUGCUCGGCUGAAUGCCCGCUGCAGUGUUUUGGCAGCUGCCAACCCUGUCUACGGCAGGGUAAGUGGAAUCAGGCCCCAACCAUUGUCCUCACCUUCAUUUGGUUUUGCUGACUAACUGGGCUGAGAAGUGUAUUCUAGGUGACCCAGGGGAAUAGUAGGCCAAAGACUAAAAGUAAGGCCAUUUUCUUGUUAUUGUCCUUUGUUUAGAGCAGUGUUCCUCACCCAUUCCUGCACAGCAGAAUCCCCUGGAAAGUUCCUUAUUUAAAAGUAACUUUUUAACAGUACAGUUAAACAGUCCAUUUAACAUAUUUAACCGUCCAUUAAAUAAAAGGACUACAUGCAUG
This 982-nucleotide small RNA is filed under the name Pan troglodytes (chimpanzee). Its description in RNAcentral is "processed transcript". The record is from RNAcentral. Lineage: Eukaryota; Metazoa; Chordata; Mammalia; Primates; Hominidae.